RNAcentral lists this RNase P RNA (309 nucleotides) under Legionella donaldsonii. Its description in RNAcentral is "partial ribonuclease P RNA". It matches the Rfam family "Bacterial RNase P class A", at positions 36 to 323 of the family's 367-position model. Rfam says of the family: Ribonuclease P (RNase P) is a ubiquitous endoribonuclease, found in archaea, bacteria and eukarya as well as chloroplasts and mitochondria. Its best characterised activity is the generation of mature 5'-ends of tRNAs by cleaving the 5'-leader elements of precursor-tRNAs. The record is from RNAcentral. Lineage: Bacteria; Pseudomonadati; Pseudomonadota; Gammaproteobacteria; Legionellales; Legionellaceae.
ACAAAGGGAGGAAAGUCCGGGCUCCGCAGGGCAGGGUGCCAGGUAACUCCUGGGAGGCGUGAGCCUACGGAAAGUGCCACAGAAAAUAUACCGCCUAUUUGUUGUUCACAGCAGGUAGGUAAGGGUGAAAUGGUGUGGUAAGAGCGCACCGCACGAUUGGUAACAGUCGUGGCAGGGAAAACCCCACCCGGAGCAAGACCAAAUAGGAAUCCUUCGUGCUGCGAUGCACGAACGUAUGGCCCGUACGGGAUUCGGGUAGGUCGCUUGAGGCAUGUGGUGACGCAUGUCCCAGAUGAAUGGUUGUCCAAG